Molecule: small nuclear RNA, 107 nt
Organism: Trichechus manatus latirostris (Florida manatee)
Lineage: Eukaryota; Metazoa; Chordata; Mammalia; Sirenia; Trichechidae
Source: RefSeq, a predicted model, not a curated record
GUGCUGGCUUCGGCAACACGCGUACUAAAAUUGGGAUAAUGCAGAGGUUAUCAUGGCCCCUGCACAAGGUGGAUGAUGUGCAAAUUCAUGGUGGAUUCCAUAUUUUU